GCAACGAGCGCAACCCUUAUUGCUAGUUACCAUCAUUAAGUUGGGGACUCUAGCGAGACUGCCAGUGAUAAAACUGGGAGGAAGGUGGGGAUGACGUCAAAUCAUCAUGCCCCUUAUGACCUGGGCUACAAACGUGAUACAAUGGCUGAAACAAAGGGCAGCGAAGGAGCGAUCUGGAGCGAAACCCAAAAAAGCCGUCUCAGUUCGGAUUGAAGUCUGCAACUCGACUUCAUGAAGUCGGAAUCGCUAGUAAUCGCGGAUCAGAACGCCGCGGUGAAUACGUUCUCGGGGUUU
Molecule: ribosomal RNA, 294 nt
Filed under: uncultured Acholeplasma sp.
Lineage: Bacteria; Bacillati; Mycoplasmatota; Mollicutes; Acholeplasmatales; Acholeplasmataceae
Description: partial 16S ribosomal RNA
Rfam family: Bacterial small subunit ribosomal RNA
Source: RNAcentral